This 253-nucleotide ribosomal RNA is filed under the name uncultured bacterium. RNAcentral's name for it is "partial 16S ribosomal RNA". It matches the Rfam family "Bacterial small subunit ribosomal RNA", at positions 524 to 776 of the family's 1533-position model. The record is from RNAcentral.
UACGUAGGCAGCGAGCGUUGUUCGGAGUUACUGGGCGUAAAGAGUGCGUAGGCGGUUUUCUAAGUUUGGUGUGAAAUCUCCCGGCUCAACUGGGAGGGUGCGCCGAAGACUGGAAGGCUUGAGUAUGGGAGAGGUAAGCGGAAUUCCUGGUGUAGCGGUGAAAUGCGCAGAUAUCAGGAGGAACACCGGUGGCGAAGGCGGAUCUCUGGGCCGUAACUGACGCUGAGGAGCGAAAGCAUGGGGAGCGAACAGG